AACGAACGCUGGCGGCAGGCUUAACACAUGCAAGUCGAACGGUUGUAGCAAUACAGCAGUGGCAGACGGGUGAGUAACACGUGGGAACCUUCCUAGGGGUACGGAACAACUCAGGGAAACUUGAGCUAAUACCGUAUACGUCGCGAGGAGAAAGAUUUAUCGCCCUUAGACGGGCCCGCGUCGGAUUAGCUAGUUGGUGGGGUAACGGCCUACCAAGGCGACGAUCCGUAGCUGAUCUUAGAGGAUGAUCAGCCACACUGGGACUGAGACACGGCCCAGACUCCUACGGGAGGCAGCAGUGGGGAAUCUUGGACAAUGGGCGCAAGCCUGAUCCAGCCAUGCCGCGUGAGUGAAGAAGGUCUUCGGAUUGUAAAGCUCUUUUGCCAGGGACGAUAAUGACGGUACCUGGAGAAUAAGCCCCGGCAAACUUCGUGCCAGCAGCCGCGGUAAU
Molecule: ribosomal RNA, 451 nt
Filed under: uncultured bacterium
Lineage: Bacteria
Description: bacterial SSU rRNA
Rfam family: Bacterial small subunit ribosomal RNA
Source: RNAcentral